Molecule: long non-coding RNA, 1122 nt
Filed under: Mus spicilegus (steppe mouse)
Lineage: Eukaryota; Metazoa; Chordata; Mammalia; Rodentia; Muridae
Description: lncRNA (ENSMSIG00000006958.1)
Source: RNAcentral
CCGUGCCGUGAGAAAUUGCCAUUAUAAAAUGGCACUGGCUUCCACUGCGCCUAACUAGUAAACAAGCCUUAUGCGCAAGUGCAAGAGUGAAUUCAUGCCCAGUCACUGCCCAUCUCGGGGCGUAUAAUGAGGUGAUGGGCGAGCAACGAAUCAGGAGCUGUCACGCCAUCUCAGGUGCUGAAAUACCACGCUGCGGGUUAUAUAAGCAGCACAUUUUCCGGGUUCGGGGUCUUCCUUAUGUUGAAGCAAUAAAAGUUUUGCCGUAGAAGGAUCCAGUUGUCCGAGUGAAUUCUUGCCAGCGAGAUACUAGCUCGGGUGAGACUGGAAGAAUUGACUCCAGGGGCUGCAAGUGACUACACAAUGACUGACUUAAGAAGUUGACAGUUAAGAGAGUAUUAAAUUUUUUUAAUUAGAGAAACAAUAUAUAUUCAGUAUAGACACUUUGAAAAAAUCAGAAAAUAAAUCACACUUUUUGUUUGUUUGUUAUUCAACAUAGGGUUUCUUUGUGUAUUCCUGGCUGUCCUGGAACUGGUUUUGUAGACCAGGCUGGCCUUAAACUUAUAAAUGUCGGCAUGUCUCUGCUUUCUGAGGGCUGGAAUUAAAGGCAUGCACCACCACAUGAUGAACAAACUUUGUUCGAAAUAUAUUUUCAAGGUCCAGGGAACCAAAUCCCUCCUCUGCUAUGUGCUGACCCCAGCCACAUAUAUUGUGAAUAUAUCAUGUUGGAAAAACAAGCAAGAGCUACAGAGUGAGACCCUCAGGCUGUACCAAAUUUCAUCUGAAGUCAGUAGGUUAUGUCAAACCCUGAAGUUCCUGUGAAAAGUGCAGAUUCUGCCAAGGACCAGCCUCAGGUCAGUGAGUAUUUUCUGAGACAAGGAGUGUCUGAGAGCAGGAAAAAGAAACCAAAUCGUGGGUCUAAGCUUGCAGCCUGUGUUCUGCUGGAGGAAGCUUUCCAGCCGGCUUUCUCUCUGUUCUGCUUUUUUCUCCCCUCUGGCAGAUCUGAUUUCUCUGCAAAUCUCUAGACAGCUCUUGAGGUUUCCUUUUGAUUAUACUUUGAAUCAGCAUCCAAUAACCACAACCCCUUAAUUCUUAGGAAACAGGAAGAACAUAUUUUCUUUUAAC